This 212-nucleotide ribosomal RNA is filed under the name Apistogramma hippolytae. Its description in RNAcentral is "partial small subunit ribosomal RNA". The record is from RNAcentral. Lineage: Eukaryota; Metazoa; Chordata; Actinopteri; Cichliformes; Cichlidae.
GGUAAAUCUCGUGCCAGCAACCGCGGUUAUACGAGAGGCCCAAGUUGAUAGACAUCCGGCGUAAAGGGUGGUUAAUGAUGCAUUGUCACUAAAGCCGAACACCCCCAAGACUGUUGUACGUUUCCGGGGGAAAGAAGCCCAACAACGAAAGUAGCUUUAUAACACAUGACCCCACGAAAGCUGUGAAACAAACUAGGAUUAGAUACCCCACU